AUGGCCAUGGCCACUCCUACUCCUCCAAGCGCAUCUUGCUGCCUCGUAGGUCCCGUCCCGUUCACAGAUGUCGUCGGCGGCGAAGAGGACGACCGGAUCACCCCGCCCGAGUGCGGGCAUAUCAUCUCCACCUUGCCGACCAUCGCCUUCAAUGGCCGCUUCGUGCACCACCAAUAUCAGGGCGCUUGGGUGAUCCACGAGAGGAUGCCCGGGGUCCUCUCUUUCCAGCGGCGCUUCACCCCGCGCCCCGGCGACGUGCUCCUCGCGAGCCCGCCCAAGUGCGGCACCACAUGGCUCAAGGCCAUGUCCUUCGCCAUCAUGGCUCGGGCGGCAUACCCGCCCUCCGCCGCUGACCACCCGCUCCGUCGCCUCAACCCACACGAGUGCGUCCCCUUCAUUGACGAUCUAUUCAGCGCAGGGCACGACACCAAGCUGGAGGCGCUGCCGUCGCCUAGACUCAUGAACACGCACAUGCAGCACUCCCUGCUGCCCGCCUCCGUUGCUGACAAUCCCAACGCCAAGAUCGUCUACAUCUGCAGGGAACCCAAGGAUAUGCUGGUAUCCAUGUGGCAUUUUGGCAAUACCAUUCACCCAUGCGAAUUCUCAGAUCUGUUUCAGAGUGUAUGUGAUGGCAAGACCACAGAUGGCCCCAUGUGGGACCACGUUCUUGGUUACUGGAAGGCAAGCAAAGCCAGUCCGGAGAGGGUCUUGUUCCUGAGGUACGAGGAGAUGCUGCUCAUUCCGGUUGACAAUGUCAUAAAGCUGGCGCAAUUUCUCGGGGUGCCGUUCUCAGCUGCCGACGAGCCGGCAAGACUUCCGGCAGACAUUAUGAAGCUGUGUAGCAUUGAGACGAUGAAAGGUCUAGAAGCGAACAAGACAGGCACCUCCGGGCUAUUUUACAAGUUCCCGCAUGAAGCCAACUUCAGGAAAGGGGUGAUUGGAGAUUGGGUGAACCAUAUGACGCCAGAGAUGGCACAGCGCUUGGACGCCAUUGUUGAGGACAAGCUCCUUGGAUCAGGGCUGUCUUUUGGCUCUUAA
RNAcentral lists this ribosomal RNA (1038 nucleotides) under Triticum aestivum (bread wheat). RNAcentral's name for it is "partial small subunit ribosomal RNA". The record is from RNAcentral. Lineage: Eukaryota; Viridiplantae; Streptophyta; Magnoliopsida; Poales; Poaceae.